AUUUAAACCACGAAUUUGUCAAGCCACAGAGUUUGCAGGUGCUAGUGAUUGGAGCCCCAGUCUCACCUGGAUCUCAAACACCUGCAAUGGAAAUAAGGACGAUGAAACUCUCAGGUGAUGAGGGUUACUCUGAUGUCCCCCCUUAGGAUUCUCUCUGCUCUGAGCAUAUAAAGGAUUCACCGGAGAAAGGGAGCUCCUUUGGGAGGUGUUCGGUGUUUUGUAUCUCUGCCAGCAAUAAAGCAAAGCUCUAAGGGAAGAGGGGUUUGGGCCAGGUUCAGCGUGGGCGCGUAUGAGGCCGGAGCAAUCCAAAGAUUUGGGAAUGCCAGGAAGCGGCUUUGUGUAAGAAAAUCUGCCCAACGACAACCUCUACAAGGGCAGGAGGACAAAUUACUUGGCUGCUGGCUGUGUGCUCGAGAAGGUGAGGUAUGUGGCAAGCUGCUGGGUGGACGGGGGCUGUGUUGCCCUGACAAGUGCGAUGUACAGGGGCAGGGACUGAGCUAUGGGGUUUGUGCUCCAAGAACCGUGCCCUAAAACACUUCCAAAACCACCGCAGCGUGCUGGCAGGAGGAGCCACUGAAAAGCAUUGCCUGUAGAAAGUUGUUCCAGAGUCUUAAUGUAAAUAAGCAGUGGUCACUGCCAUGCCAGGUUGAAGCAGUCCCUAAGCAGUGUUAAAUGCUGCACUGAAACUGGGAUUUUCAUAAACACAGAGCAGAGAGAAAAGAUGAGUCGGACCAAAAUCUAGAUGUUUCACCCCAAGGACAGAGCACGUCUCAGGGCCUGGGUGCAGCACACUGCGUCUCUUCCCUCCCCACUGCUGUGGGGGUGGUUUUCCUCCACCACCAGGAGGAAGUUUUGGGCUUGGGCUCUGCGAGAGGUGUGCUGAGGAGCCCAGUGGCUCUGUAGCUGUACUAAGCCCUGGCUGAGAUGACCCACCGAGCCAAGCAAACAGCUUGUGCGCGCCCACACUCCCCUCAAGUGUCAGCAGAAAAAUGGGAUCUGUUGGCAUAAACAAGCUUCUUUAAUCCCAUUCAGCACAACCUUCGUGGUCAGGCUGUGCUCAGCCAUAGCUGCGUAGGGAGCUGUGAGCUGAUUUGCUCUGAU
RNAcentral lists this long non-coding RNA (1101 nucleotides) under Anser brachyrhynchus (Pink-footed goose). RNAcentral describes it as "lncRNA (ENSABRG00000009965.1)". The record is from RNAcentral. Lineage: Eukaryota; Metazoa; Chordata; Aves; Anseriformes; Anatidae.